UUGGUUGUUAUCUUUGGUUAUCUAGCUGUAUGAGUGGUGUGGAGUCUUCAUAAAGCUAGAUAACCGAAAGUAAAAAUAACCCCAUACACUGCGCAGAGGGCCCGGAACGCUGGCGGCGGCAGGGCUGCAUGCAGGAAGGAAAGCCGCGCCAGGCGUCCCACGAGGCUGGGGGGCUGGGGCGGAUCAUCGUCUUCGAGAGUUGCUUAGCCCAGGCCACCUUCGAGGUCCCCACCCACUGAUGAGAAGAAAGCAAGAAACCGUUUAGGGGUCGCCUCUGGAGGCCUGGUCAGAACGGAGCAGUCCGGGUCCUAGUCCCGGGGAAGCUGCUCCCGGGACAGAUAGAGUCGUUGGAAUCUAGUUGCAAGGUUGUGGGAGACGUGCCAGCACCCCUCCCGGUCUGGACACCUCCAGGGAGCAGCAGCGGGCGACUGGUGUGAGCAGCUUCCCUUUGGCUCUUCGAAGCGACUGGCGGAGUUCGAGCAUCUCCCCUGGGCGGGUGGGUGUUCCACCCGCCCGCCCUCUCUCUGCGUUGUGGAUCAGGAUGUGAGGACCAGUGACAUCCAGCACCGCGGACAGCUCCCAGCGGCGAGUGAGUCUGCUGACCGAUCUAGGAGCGUGGAGACCCUCUCAGCUCCAUCCCUGCAGACUCCAGCCCAAUAUUCUGGAUCUGCCUAAGUCUCCGGAAAGAGGCUAGGGGUGUGGCACGGCAGCCUCGGGAACACUGGGCUUGAAUUUGGUCAACGCCUACAGCCAAAAGGCUCUUUGAAUGCCUCAUUCAUGCGAGGUAUGGCCCUGUGGAGCGGGCAGUCUAGUGGGAAAGCAGACACAACUCACCUCAGGCCAGUGGUUGCCCUGCAGUGUGCCCAGCGGCUUCCUGGAGAACACUCAAGCAGCUUUGCAAGCAUAAACCAGGCAGUAUGGAGUCUCUGUUCAGCGAAAUGAAUGAGGACCUGCAACCCCUGCCCCACAGGCUUCCAGCUUCUGAUCCUCUGGUCCUUGGAAUGCGCCCUAGGGAGGCAGGAGCCAGGAGACAGGGAUGGGCCAUUUCCUAGGCCAGUGGAUGGGAGGUUAGGACUCCUGAGAAGGCUCCAACUGGUCCCUGAGAACUCAGUCCCUCCCUUUAUCAACCAGCUGAAGGAGACCCUGGCUGACCCUGUCAUCUGGAUUGCUCCUCCCCAGCCACGGCCAGAGAAGACCUGACACCUCACCCUGCGCUUCCCUGCAAGGCAAAAUGUGUUCCCAGACUUCAAAGGGACUGGCUCCAGCAAGCAGAAGUGGACAGAGGCAGAGAUGCCACCGCCUGGCAGCUCUUUCCAGAGCUAUGAAAUGAGGGCUUGGUUACCUGGUUACUUCCAGCAAGUUGUUCCACCGUCCCAUCUAUUUCUCCUGUUGUCUCUCGACUGCAUCCCUAAAUCCUAUCCCAUGUCCAAUAAAGAGUGUUGUGGACUGAA
Non-coding RNA from Myodes glareolus (Bank vole), 1451 nucleotides. The record is from RefSeq and is a predicted model, not a curated record. NCBI's taxonomy places the organism in Eukaryota, Metazoa, Chordata, Mammalia, Rodentia, Cricetidae.